This is a non-coding RNA of Triticum urartu, 439 nucleotides long. The record is from RefSeq and is a predicted model, not a curated record. NCBI's taxonomy places the organism in Eukaryota, Viridiplantae, Streptophyta, Magnoliopsida, Poales, Poaceae.
CGUGGCUGGAGAACAUGCCCUGGCGGAUCUGGAACCUCGCCAGGAAGAAGAAGCAGACAAAUGUAUCAAUCUGCUUAACUGUGUAUGAUUCCUGCAUUUCCCAGUUGCAAAUCCUAAUCAAGGAGAAUGAGUAAUACAAGCUCAGUAGCUCCAUGCAAAAGAAGGUUGAAAGGAGAAGGAGAGUUUGUGACUGCUAUAGAAGGACUGAAGGAGGUCCAUGUUGAAGAAGAUCGACAGAAGCAGUAGAGCUGUCAUUGCCAUUGUAUUUGUGUUGUAUGAUGUAUCCACGUUUACCCACAAAAAAAUGUAUUCACGUUGUAAUACUUUGAUUGCCAUUCUGGCUACUAUUUCAAUCAGUGUAUUUUGCUAGUGCUGAUUUAGAUAUUGGUUACUUAUUUACUAUGAAACAAAAUCUAAAGAACUUGACCCUGACAACCGG